RNAcentral lists this ribosomal RNA (234 nucleotides) under uncultured fungus. RNAcentral's name for it is "partial 18S ribosomal RNA". It matches the Rfam family "Eukaryotic small subunit ribosomal RNA", at positions 548 to 785 of the family's 1831-position model. Lineage: Eukaryota; Fungi. The record is from RNAcentral.
UUGGAGGGCAAGUCUGGUGCCCGCAGCCGCGGUAAUUCCAGCUCCAAUAGCGUAUAUUAAAGUUGCUGCAGUUAAAAAGCUCGUAGUUGAAUUUCGGGACCAUCAUGUCGGUCGUGCCUCGGUACGUACUGGCAUUGUUGGUUUCUCCCUUCUGACGAACCAUGAUGUCAUUUAUUUGGUGUUGUGGGGAAUCAGGACUGUUACUUUGAAAAAAUUAGAGUGUUUAAAGCAGGC